GUUUGAACAUGGCUCAGGACGAACGCUGGCGGCGUGCCUAAUACAUGCAAGUCGAGCGGACAGAUGGGAGCUUGCUCCCUGAUGUUAGCGGCGGACGGGUGAGUAACACGUGGGUAACCUGCCUGUAAGACUGGGAUAACUCCGGGAAACCGGGGCUAAUACCGGAUGGUUGUUUGAACCGCAUGGUUCAGACAUAAAAGGUGGCUUCGGCUACCACUUACAGAUGGACCCGCGGCGCAUUAGCUAGUUGGUGAGGUAACGGCUCACCAAGGCGACGAUGCGUAGCCGACCUGAGAGGGUGAUCGGCCACACUGGGACUGAGACACGGCCCAGACUCCUACGGGAGGCAGCAGUAGGGAAUCUUCCGCAAUGGACGAAAGUCUGACGGAGCAACGCCGCGUGAGUGAUGAAGGUUUUCGGAUCGUAAAGCUCUGUUGUUAGGGAAGAACAAGUGCCGUUCAAAUAGGGCGGCACCUUGACGGUACCUAACCAGAAAGCCACGGCUAACUACGUGCCAGCAGCCGCGGUAAUACGUAGGUGGCAAGCGUUGUCCGGAAUUAUUGGGCGUAAAGGGCUCGCAGGCGGUUUCUUAAGUCUGAUGUGAAAGCCCCCGGCUCAACCGGGGAGGGUCAUUGGAAACUGGGGAACUUGAGUGCAGAAGAGGAGAGUGGAAUUCCACGUGUAGCGGUGAAAUGCGUAGAGAUGUGGAGGAACACCAGUGGCGAAGGCGACUCUCUGGUCUGUAACUGACGCUGAGGAGCGAAAGCGUGGGGAGCGAACAGGAUUAGAUACCCUGGUAGUCCACGCCGUAAACGAUGAGUGCUAAGUGUUAGGGGGUUUCCGCCCCUUAGUGCUGCAGCUAACGCAUUAAGCACUCCGCCUGGGGAGUACGGUCGCAAGACUGAAACUCUGGCCAAAA
This 919-nucleotide ribosomal RNA is filed under the name Bacillus amyloliquefaciens. RNAcentral's name for it is "bacterial SSU rRNA". It matches the Rfam family "Bacterial small subunit ribosomal RNA", at positions 11 to 911 of the family's 1533-position model. Lineage: Bacteria; Bacillati; Bacillota; Bacilli; Caryophanales; Bacillaceae. The record is from RNAcentral.